GAUGAACGCUGGCGGCGUGCUUAACACAUGCAAGUCGAACGGAAAGGCCCAAGCUUGCUUGGGUACUCGAGUGGCGAACGGGUGAGUAACACGUGGGUGAUAUGCCCUGCACUUCGGGAUAAGCCUGGGAAACUGGGUCUAAUACCGGAUAGGACCACAUUUUGGAUGGUGUGGUGGAAAGUUUUUCGGUGUGGGAUGAGCUGGCGGCCUAUCAGCUUGUUGGUGGGGUAAUGGCCUACCAAGGCGUCGACGGGUAGCAGGCCAGAGAGGGUGUACGGCGACAUUGAGACUUACGGACGGCCCAGACACGGACGGGAGGCAGCAGGGGGGAAGAUUGCAGAAGGGGCGCAGGCCGGAUGCAGCGGGGCCGCGUGGGGGAUGACGGCCUUCGGGUGGUAAACUCCUUUCGCUAGUAACUAAGCGUUAUGUGACGGUACCUAGAGAAGAAGCACCGGCUAACUACGUG
Molecule: ribosomal RNA, 466 nt
Filed under: uncultured bacterium
Lineage: Bacteria
Description: partial 16S ribosomal RNA
Rfam family: Bacterial small subunit ribosomal RNA
Source: RNAcentral